GGACCAAUAGCUCAGCUGGAUAGAGUACUUGACUACGAAUCAAGGGGUCGGGGGUUCGAAUCCUCCUUGGUCCGCCA
RNAcentral lists this transfer RNA (77 nucleotides) under Pseudosulfitobacter pseudonitzschiae. RNAcentral describes it as "tRNA-Arg". It matches the Rfam family "tRNA". From Rfam's summary of the family: Transfer RNA (tRNA) molecules are approximately 80 nucleotides in length. Their secondary structure includes four short double-helical elements and three loops (D, anti-codon, and T loops). Further hydrogen bonds mediate the characteristic L-shaped molecular structure. tRNAs have two regions of fundamental functional importance: the anti-codon, which is responsible for specific mRNA codon recognition, and the 3' end, to which the tRNAs corresponding amino acid is attached (by aminoacyl-tRNA synthetases). tRNAs cope with the degeneracy of the genetic code in two manners: having more than one tRNA (with a specific anti-codon) for a particular amino acid; and 'wobble' base-pairing, i.e. permitting non-standard base-pairing at the 3rd anti-codon position. The record is from RNAcentral. RNAcentral also lists the same sequence under 4 other names. Lineage: Bacteria; Pseudomonadati; Pseudomonadota; Alphaproteobacteria; Rhodobacterales; Roseobacteraceae.